Molecule: ribosomal RNA, 317 nt
Filed under: uncultured bacterium
Lineage: Bacteria
Description: bacterial SSU rRNA
Rfam family: Bacterial small subunit ribosomal RNA
Source: RNAcentral
AUUGAACGGCUGGCGGCAGGCUUAACACAUGCAAGUCGAACGGUAACGGGUUGAAAGCUUGCUUUCAAUGCUGACGAGUGGCGGACGGGUGAGUAAGGCUUGGGGAUCUGGCUUUUGGAGGGGGAUAACCAUUGGAAACGACUGCUAAUACCGCAUAAGCCCACGACCCGGCAUCGGGUUGAGGGAAAAGGAGCAAUCCGCUUUGAGAUGGCCUCGCGUCCGAUUAGCUAGUUGGUGAGGUAACGGCCCACCAAGGCGACGAUCGGUAGCCGGACUGAGAGGUUGAACGGCCACAUUGGGACUGAGACACGGCCCAG